Molecule: ribosomal RNA, 253 nt
Filed under: uncultured bacterium
Lineage: Bacteria
Description: partial 16S ribosomal RNA
Rfam family: Bacterial small subunit ribosomal RNA
Source: RNAcentral
AACGUAGGAGACAAACGUUAUCCGGAGUUACUGGGCGUAAAGGGCGUGUAGGUGGUAUCGUAAGUCUGGCGUGAAAUUUCUCGGCUUAACCGAGGCAGGUCGUCGGAUACUGCGAGGCUAGAGGACGGUAGAGGCGUGUGGAAUUCCGGGUGUAGUGGUGAAAUGCGUAGAGAUCCGGAAGAACACCGGAGGCGAAGGCGGCUUGCUGGACCUGGUCUGACGCUGAGGCGCGAAAGCGUGGGGAGCGAACAGG